AUAGUGGUGGUUCAGUGGUAGAAUUUUUACCUUCCAUGCAGGAGACCUAGGUUCGAUUCCUGGUCAAUGCA
Transfer RNA from Loxodonta africana (African savanna elephant), 71 nucleotides. It matches the Rfam family "tRNA". From Rfam's summary of the family: Transfer RNA (tRNA) molecules are approximately 80 nucleotides in length. Their secondary structure includes four short double-helical elements and three loops (D, anti-codon, and T loops). Lineage: Eukaryota; Metazoa; Chordata; Mammalia; Proboscidea; Elephantidae. The record is from Rfam.